GAAUGGCCUUUUUAAUCAUUCCCAGAUCAAAUUCUAGACCAAAGACACAGCGGGCCAAGUCCCCAGGCACUGCCUGGAUGGAAGGCCAGCCACCUCCACAGCCCACUCCCUGACAGUGUCCCCUCACCUGUCUUCAAUACUCACCACUCCCACCCAGUCCCUGGCCCUGAUAACUCUUGUCGUGACACUUGUCUUUUCAUGUCUGCAUGUAAGUAACAUUUUGAAGUAGAGCUCGUGACUCUGGUCCACCUGCCUCUUGGAGAGAGGGCUAAGCUGUUGGCCAACCAGCCCUUGCCUGGAACAGGCCAGAUCCUGCCCUGCCUGUCAGAAGUAGACAGGAAGCCAGGAACAUUGCCAGGUUUAGAUGAGGACCUUCAGUGGGCCCAGGAGAACUCUCCUGGGAGAUGUUAU
Molecule: long non-coding RNA, 411 nt
Filed under: Androctonus crassicauda
Lineage: Eukaryota; Metazoa; Arthropoda; Arachnida; Scorpiones; Buthidae
Source: RNAcentral